UCCCUAAGCCAUUCCUCAUAGGAAACCUUUCACCAUUUUGGUCACCCUACUCUGGAUAUGCUACAGCUUGUCAACAACAUUCUUGAAUUGAGGUGCCCAGAAUUGGACACAGUAUUCCAGGUCUUCAGCCUUUAGCUGGUUGAGAUCAAAAGAUGCUCAAUUGUCAUGAUAAAAGCUACCCAGGAUGAUUAACCCUGAGCCGCAGAGCAGGAACCAGUAAUAUUUCAGUGGACAAAUAAAGCCUCCAUACACAAGGGCACAGAAAUCAGAAACAAGAACCAUAUGCAGAACAGAAAGAUGAUCUUGCAAACUGACUGCAGCAGUGAAUUGUAAAUUAAUGCACAACAUGGCCCUAAAGAAUCAGAGUCAAUAUUUAAUUGCUCUGGGAAAGAAAAAAGAUACCACGUAGCUAUGCGGAAAGAAUCUGAUACAAAUCAAAGCAAGGUCUGAACACUGAACAGUGUUGCAUUGGACUAG
Sceloporus undulatus (fence lizard) is the source of this 477-nucleotide long non-coding RNA. RefSeq lists it as uncharacterized. The record is from RefSeq and is a predicted model, not a curated record. The transcript is spliced from 4 exons. Lineage: Eukaryota; Metazoa; Chordata; Lepidosauria; Squamata; Phrynosomatidae.